This is an RNA transcript of Papaver somniferum (opium poppy), 1544 nucleotides long. RefSeq lists it as uncharacterized. The record is from RefSeq and is a predicted model, not a curated record. NCBI's taxonomy places the organism in Eukaryota, Viridiplantae, Streptophyta, Magnoliopsida, Ranunculales, Papaveraceae. The transcript is spliced from 11 exons.
UCUAUCUGAAAGCAGAGAGAAAACUAAUUAUUCUCCGCCUCUCAUCUCUGGUCUCUCUAUCUCCUUCGCACUCACCUUCACAUAAAUCUCACUCAAUUGAUUUAUCUCUUUCUAUAAAACUCACUCAAUUGGAAAUCUCUCUUUGUACAAAACUCACUCGAUCUGUUUCGGAGACUAGGGGUUUAUUGCUGAGUUUUGUGCAAACAGGGAUGAAGUUGAUGAUGAAGAUACAAAAGAAGAAAAAGACGCUUAAAAAUUAUGAUUUCAGGGUUUAUUGUUGUGGUCUUUAUCUACGGCAAAAAGGAUAAAAUUCUUUCACUCAAUCUCUUCUCGAUUUUUCUUUUUAUCAUUGUUUUGGUACAAUUACAUGAUUAGGGGUUUUAUUGAUUUUUGGGCUUUUGAUUUCAGGGUUCACUAUUAAGGUUAUUCUCCAUCUCUACAAGGAAAAGGGGUUCACUGUGAAGAGAAGAGCUUAUGUGGAUGGUUGGGUGGUGGUUGUGAGUGGUGAUGACAGUUGCAGUAUAUGAAAAUCAAGAGUGGGAGAACCUAAUGUUGGCUAAAGAAUACCUACGCAAAGGUUAGUGAAUCAAAACCUUCAUACCCAUCCUCCAAAUCAGAGUCGGGACUUGUUGAUUGGGACAAGUUAAGAGGCAGGAAUAAUAUUUUCUAACUCUGAUCCGUGCCUUUUUGCUUUCGUUUGUGAUGUCAAUGACUUGGUUGUGCUAUAGGUAGAGAAAGGUAGACAUAAUGUUGAUGAUGAGGCCAAGCCGACAUGUCUUGUUCAGUUUCAGCUUCAGUUUCCUAGAUCUCCCAACGGUGAAGGAGGAUCUUAUGAUGUCAAAUGGAAAAGAGUUACGCCCAUCCUUGGAUUGGACCUCAGAGAUGGGUUGGACUGCACCCAUAUCCAAGGAGAUUCAUCACUUGAGGGAUCAACUGGUGAAUAUUUUCUCAGUUGAAAGGAGAUUGUUUCAAGUUUAAGCUAUUAUGCUUGGAUCAACUGCGAUAGGCUUGAAAAGUAAAGGUGUAGUGGUUGUUGUUAAGAAGAGUAUCACUUCCCCACUACUGUUUAGUUUUCUUCCAAACCACUUUCUCCUUCACAAGCUGGUAGAGCGCUGGGGAAGGCUGGUGUAUGCAAAUAUUCAGUAGCUGAUUCAGUUCCAGACCAUAGUUGAUGUUGCUGCUCUUUCCGAUAAUCUUUAUGGAUGCAGUCACUCUCUUACCGAUGGUCUAAUGAUCGAGGGGCACUGAUGUCAUGAUUGUUGGUAAGAUCGCUGUUGUUGCUGGAUACAGAGAUGUUGGAAAGGGUUGUGCUUCUGCAAUUCUGCUCUCAAGCUGGUGCCCAGGUGAUGGAUCACUAAAAUUGAUGUUGAAAUUUUUAGAACUUGUAGCACUUGUCUUUAAGAAAGCUUGAACUUAUAAAUUAGGAGUUGAAUCCUUUUGUAUGAUUUUGAAUUAAUUUACGAGUACAAUGUAAUGUAAUGGAAUUCUCAUCUUGUGUGGAUGAAUAAGGUUAUAAAAUUGUCAUUUUAAUUUUAGUGUUUGAA